Molecule: transfer RNA, 62 nt
Filed under: Pieleus irregularis
Lineage: Eukaryota; Metazoa; Arthropoda; Insecta; Coleoptera; Cleridae
Description: tRNA-Gly
Rfam family: tRNA
About the family: Transfer RNA (tRNA) molecules are approximately 80 nucleotides in length.
Source: RNAcentral
AUUUAUAUAGUAUAUUAUUAUAUUUGACUUCCAAUCAAAAGAUCUAAAUUUUAGUAUAAAUA